UAUAAGGGAUUUUGAGUUUUUGCUUGUAAUGUUUGACCACUCGUCAUAUUUAAAUUUUUUUGAAAUUAUUAUUUAUUUUAUUUAUGACUUACUUUAUUAUCCGCAGUACUUUAAGCACAACUUUUCGUUUUUUAUAUUUGCAAAAAAAAUUUAAAUAAGACGAGUGUUCAAACGUUACAAGCAAAAACUCAAAAUCCCUUAUA
Molecule: non-coding RNA, 203 nt
Organism: Oryza glumipatula
Lineage: Eukaryota; Viridiplantae; Streptophyta; Magnoliopsida; Poales; Poaceae
Source: Rfam